CACGUAGGGGGCGAGCGUUGUCCGGAAUCAUUGGGCGUAAAGAGCUCGUAGGCGGCUCAGUAAGUCGGGUGUGAAACCCUCAGGCUCAACCUGGGGACGCCACCCGAUACUGCUGUGGCUAGAGUCCAGUAGGGGAGUGUGGAAUUCCCGGUGUAGCGGUGAAAUGCGCAGAUAUCGGGAGGAACACCGGUGGCGAAGGCGGGUCUCUGGGCCAAAACUGACGCUGAGGAGCGAAAGCGUGGGGAGCGAACAGG
RNAcentral lists this ribosomal RNA (254 nucleotides) under uncultured bacterium. RNAcentral describes it as "partial 16S ribosomal RNA". It matches the Rfam family "Bacterial small subunit ribosomal RNA", at positions 524 to 776 of the family's 1533-position model. The record is from RNAcentral.